UCUUCCAGCCCCAUUCCCUUGCUGCACAACUGACCAUCAGCCACCUCCAGAUCACAGUGGGGAGCCCAGUCUCUGGCCAGUUCCAAGUGGGCUGGUUCGGCAAAUAUCAGGUAGUUUAGAUUUGACUCAGUUUAGAAAGACAGGUGUGUACCUGUCUUUGAGCAAAGCUGAGAAAUUGGAAAUAGUUGUGUUCAGAAAAGAGUUAAGAAUGUCCCUAUAAUUCUCAGUAUGGGGCAUGCUG
This 241-nucleotide long non-coding RNA is filed under the name Homo sapiens (human). RNAcentral describes it as "HSALNT0276286". Lineage: Eukaryota; Metazoa; Chordata; Mammalia; Primates; Hominidae. The record is from RNAcentral.